Molecule: long non-coding RNA, 233 nt
Filed under: Mytilus galloprovincialis (Mediterranean mussel)
Lineage: Eukaryota; Metazoa; Mollusca; Bivalvia; Mytilida; Mytilidae
Source: RNAcentral
AGCCGCACUCGAUAAAAACCUCAGACUGCUAACACAAAGGUUCCUGGUUCGAUUCCCGUUCCAGGAUGAAAAUUGCAGGGACUGAAUUUUCGGCACUCCCUUGACACCAUUUGCGAGUAUGGUCUCAAGGAAACGAUGAUAGUCGGUCGGAAGGGGACGAUAAAUGGCUGACCCGUGUUAAGAGAGAGCCAUAUCUCUUGCACGUAAAAGACACCCUUGUAGAUUUCGAAAAA